GAUGCAGUCGAGCGAUGGAUUAAGAGCUUGCUCUUAUGAAGUUAGCGGCGGACGGGUGAGUAACACGUGGGUAACCUGCCCAUAAGACUGGGAUAACUCCGGGAAACCGGGGCUAAUACCGGAUAACAUUUUGAACCGCAUGGUUCGAAAUUGAAAGGCGGCUUCGGCUGUCACUUAUGGAUGGACCCGCGUCGCAUUAGCUAGUUGGUGAGGUAACGGCUCACCAAGGCAACGAUGCGUAGCCGACCUGAGAGGGUGAUCGGCCACACUGGGACUGAGACACGGCCCAGACUCCUACGGGAGGCAGCAGUAGGGAAUCUUCCGCAAUGGACGAAAGUCUGACGGAGCAACGCCGCGUGAGUGAUGAAGGCUUUCGGGUCGUAAAACUCUGUUGUUAGGGAAGAACAAGUGCUAGUUGAAUAAGCUGGCACCUUGACGGUACCUAACCAGAAAGCCACGGCUAACUACGUGCCAGCAGCCGCGGUAAUACGUAGGUGGCAAGCGUUAUCCGGAAUUAUUGGGCGUAAAGCGCGCGCAGGUGGUUUCUUAAGUCUGAUGUGAAAGCCCACGGCUCAACCGUGGAGGGUCAUUGGAAACUGGGAGACUUGAGUGCAGAAGAGGAAAGUGGAAUUCCAUG
This 637-nucleotide ribosomal RNA is filed under the name Bacillus cereus. RNAcentral's name for it is "bacterial SSU rRNA". It matches the Rfam family "Bacterial small subunit ribosomal RNA", at positions 54 to 673 of the family's 1533-position model. The record is from RNAcentral. Lineage: Bacteria; Bacillati; Bacillota; Bacilli; Caryophanales; Bacillaceae.